Micropterus salmoides (largemouth bass) is the source of this 790-nucleotide long non-coding RNA. RefSeq lists it as uncharacterized. NCBI's taxonomy places the organism in Eukaryota, Metazoa, Chordata, Actinopteri, Centrarchiformes, Centrarchidae. The transcript has 3 exons. The record is from RefSeq and is a predicted model, not a curated record.
CUCCUCUCUUAUCACAUCAACCUCCAUUACCUCCUCUCCCUCUGUCUGCACCUCCUCCUUCACACCUAUCACCUCCUCUCCCUCUGUCUGCACCUCCUCCUUCACACCUAUUACCUCCUCUCCCCCUGUCUGCACCUCCUCCUUCAAACCUAUCACCUCCCCCCUCUGUCUGCACCUCCUCCUUCAAACCUGUCACCUCUACCUCUCCCACCAUCUUCUCUUCCAUCACCUCCUCCAUCUCUCCCUCUGUCUGUGCCCUCUCCUCUUCCUCUGCUCCUCCUCGGCCCAGUCCUCCUCCUGACCUCCCGUCUGUGCCAAGAACAUUUCUCUGACAGCAAGCGGACAGAAGGUCAUCCUCUGGACCAGAGAAGCGGACAGAGUCAUCUUGACAACGUGUCAGCAGGAGGGAGCCAAUCAGAACACGUUCCAGGCCAUCUCUACUCUGCUCGGCAACAAGACUCCCAAUGAGGUCUCUCGCAGGUUUCGGGAUUUGAUGAGUUUGUUUCGGACAGCAGCGCGACAGACUGGCUCUGAUGAAGAGGCUCUGCCCACCGAGUCGGUAGCAGCCAAUGAGGAAGAAGACUGAUGUUAACCAAUCAGAAGAGCCGUAGGUUCCGCAGCAGAAAAAAUUAAGUUUGUUCCCAGGACUUUUAUUGUGAAGGAUUCAUCAAAGUUUACAGAUGCGUUUACUGAACGUCAAAAAAACUGUAAAUAUGAACAUUUCUAAAUAUUUAAAGUUUUUGUAAAAAUGAAGUCUUUUUUUUUUUUAAUAAAACAGUUUUUUAUCGAA